This 497-nucleotide ribosomal RNA is filed under the name uncultured Glomeromycotina. Its description in RNAcentral is "partial small subunit ribosomal RNA". It matches the Rfam family "Eukaryotic small subunit ribosomal RNA", at positions 591 to 1092 of the family's 1831-position model. Lineage: Eukaryota; Fungi; Glomeromycota. The record is from RNAcentral.
CCAAUAGCGUAUAUUAAAGUUGUUGCAGUUAAAAAGCUCGUAGUUGAAUUUUAGGCCUGGCCGGGCGGUCCGUCUUUGGCGAGUACUGUCCUGUGUCGGGUCCACCUUCUGGUGAACCAGUAUGUCCUUUAUUGGGUGUGCCGGGGAGCCAGGACCAUUACCUUGAAAAAAUUAGAGUGUUUAAAGCAGGCAUUCGCUUGAAUAGAUUAGCAUGGAAUAAUAGAAUAGGACGUUGUGGUUCUAUUUUGUUGGUUUCUAGGACCACCGUAAUGAUUAAUAGGGAUAGUUGGGGGCAUUAGUAUUCAAUUGUCAGAGGUGAAAUUCUUGGAUUUAUUGAAGACUAACUAUUGCGAAAGCAUUUGCCAAGGAUGUUUUCAUUAAUCAAGAACGAAAGUUAGGGGAUCGAAGACGAUCAGAUACCGUCGUAGUCUUAACCAUAAACUAUGCCGACUAGGAAUCGGGCGACGUUAUUUUCAUGACUCGCUCGGCGCCUUAUG